Non-coding RNA from Anopheles minimus, 78 nucleotides. NCBI's taxonomy places the organism in Eukaryota, Metazoa, Arthropoda, Insecta, Diptera, Culicidae. The record is from Rfam.
UACCGGAAGCAGGGGUUUCUUUCGGCCUCCAGCAGCAUUUGACCGUUGUAGGCCGGCGGAAACUACUUGCUUCCGUCG